CAUUUUCUCAGUGUAACAUUCCCUGGUGAGGGCUACAUCUAUAUGUUCCUCAACAAAUGUUAAUGUACCACAAAGAUGCACAACACAAUAUCUAUAGAGCCUUUUCCUUAUUUUUCUCUAGAUAUCUCUACCGUGGGAGUCGUAGUUUUGGAAUCAAAAGCAGCUUGUGUUUGACCUCAUUUUAGUUAUUGUAGUACUUUCUCCCAGACAGUAGUACCC
Pelobates cultripes (western spadefoot toad) is the source of this 219-nucleotide non-coding RNA. NCBI's taxonomy places the organism in Eukaryota, Metazoa, Chordata, Amphibia, Anura, Pelobatidae. The record is from the annotation of a GenBank genome assembly.